Sciurus vulgaris (Eurasian red squirrel) is the source of this 133-nucleotide small nucleolar RNA. Its record names the gene SNORA70. It matches the Rfam family "Small nucleolar RNA SNORA70". Rfam says of the family: snoRNA U70 seems to be exclusive to mammals and is a member of the H/ACA class of snoRNA which contain H (ANANNA) and ACA box motifs. H/ACA box snoRNAs are involved in the conversion of uridines to pseudouridines (5-ribosyluracil) a constituent of structural RNAs (transfer, ribosomal, small nuclear, and small nucleolar). Lineage: Eukaryota; Metazoa; Chordata; Mammalia; Rodentia; Sciuridae. The record is from Ensembl.
CUGCAGCCAAUUAAACAGAUAGGUUCCUUUGCUACUGGGAUCCUAGUGUGCAAAGCUGCAAAUAGUAGCCUCCUUAGUGGUGUAGACAGCCUAUAGCUUGUGUAGGUUGCCCUAAAGGACCUUGGAGACAGAC